AGGGUAGUAGCUCCAAUGGUAGAGCGUCGGUCUCCAAAACCGAGUGUUGGGGGUUCGAGUCCCUCCUGCCCUG
RNAcentral lists this transfer RNA (73 nucleotides) under Brevinema andersonii. It matches the Rfam family "tRNA". From Rfam's summary of the family: Transfer RNA (tRNA) molecules are approximately 80 nucleotides in length. Their secondary structure includes four short double-helical elements and three loops (D, anti-codon, and T loops). The record is from Rfam by way of RNAcentral. Lineage: Bacteria; Pseudomonadati; Spirochaetota; Spirochaetia; Brevinematales; Brevinemataceae.